Molecule: ribosomal RNA, 449 nt
Filed under: uncultured bacterium
Lineage: Bacteria
Description: partial 16S ribosomal RNA
Rfam family: Bacterial small subunit ribosomal RNA
Source: RNAcentral
AGCGAACGCUGGCGGCAGGCCUAACACAUGCAAGUCGAACGAACUCUUCGGAGUUAGUGGCGGACGGGUGAGUAACACGUGGGAACGUGCCUUUAGGUUCGGAAUAACUCAGGGAAACUUGUGCUAAUACCGAAUGUGCCCUUCGGGGGACAGAUUUAUCGCCUUUAGAGCGGCCCGCGUCUGAUUAGCUAGUUGGUGAGGUAAAGGCUCACCAAGGCGACGAUCAGUAGCUGGUCUGAGAGGAUGAUCAGCCACAUUGGGACUGAGACACGGCCCAAACUCCUACGGGAGGCAGCAGUGGGGAAUCUUGCGCAAUGGGCGAAAGCCUGACGCAGCCAUGCCGCGUGAAUGAUGAAGGUCUUAGGAUUGUAAAAUUCUUUCACCGGGGACGAUAAUGACGGUACCCGGAAAAGAAGCCCCGGCUAACUUCGUGCCAGCAGCCGCCGUAA